CAGACGAGGAGCUUGCUCCUCUGACGUUAGCGGCGGACGGGUGAGUAACACGUGGAUAACCUACCUAUAAGACUGGGAUAACUUCGGGAAACCGGAGCUAAUACCGGAUAAUAUAUUGAACCGCAUGGUUCAAUAGUGAAAGACGGUUUUGCUGUCACUUAUAGAUGGAUCCGCGCCGCAUUAGCUAGUUGGUAAGGUAACGGCUUACCAAGGCGACGAUGCGUAGCCGACCUGAGAGGGUGAUCGGCCACACUGGAACUGAGACACGGUCCAGACUCCUACGGGAGGCAGCAGUAGGGAAUCUUCCGCAAUGGGCGAAAGCCUGACGGAGCAACGCCGCGUGAGUGAUGAAGGUCUUCGGAUCGUAAAACUCUGUUAUUAGGGAA
RNAcentral lists this ribosomal RNA (386 nucleotides) under uncultured Staphylococcus sp. RNAcentral describes it as "bacterial SSU rRNA". It matches the Rfam family "Bacterial small subunit ribosomal RNA", at positions 70 to 446 of the family's 1533-position model. The record is from RNAcentral. Lineage: Bacteria; Bacillati; Bacillota; Bacilli; Caryophanales; Staphylococcaceae.